AAGACAAACUACUGCGAAAGCAUUUGCCAAGGAUGUUUUCAUUGAUCAAGAACGAAGGAAGGGGGAUCGAAAACGAUCAGAUACCGUUGUAGUCUCUUCUGUAAACUAUGCCAAUUGGGGAUUAGCACAGGAUUUUCAAUGACUGUGUUAGCACCCGAAGAGAAAUCUUUAAAUGAGGUUCGGGGGGGAGUAUGGUCGCAAGGCUGAAACUUAAAGGAAUUGACGGAAGGGCACCACCAGGUGUGGAGCCUGCGGCUUAAUUUGACUCAACACGGGGAAAC
RNAcentral lists this ribosomal RNA (281 nucleotides) under uncultured fungus. Its description in RNAcentral is "partial 18S ribosomal RNA". It matches the Rfam family "Eukaryotic small subunit ribosomal RNA", at positions 932 to 1214 of the family's 1831-position model. The record is from RNAcentral. Lineage: Eukaryota; Fungi.